This 204-nucleotide ribosomal RNA is filed under the name uncultured bacterium. Its description in RNAcentral is "partial 16S ribosomal RNA". It matches the Rfam family "Bacterial small subunit ribosomal RNA", at positions 568 to 773 of the family's 1533-position model. The record is from RNAcentral.
UGUGUAGGCGGUUCUUUAAGUUUGGUGUGAAAUCUCCCGGCUCAACCGGGAGGGUGCGCCGAAUACUGAGGGACUAGAGUGUGGGAGAGGAAAGUGGAAUUCCUGGUGUAGCGGUGAAAUGCGUAGAUAUCAGGAGGAACACCGGUGGUGUAGACGGCUUUCUGGACCCAUAACUGACGCUGAGACACGAAAGCUGGGUAGAAC